AUGAAGCCUUGUACAGGAAACAAGAAGAUGGAAGACCAAUGUGGACGUGUGCCUAGAGCCACUCGGAUUCGUCAAGAUCGCCAAGACCUUCUCCUCCUGGACACAAGUACCACACCGGAAAGAUCGACUACAUGGACGCAAGUACCAUGCCACCCAUGUCCCGCCAAGUUCAUCUACGGAAUGUGUACCACUACGCCCGAGCGACUAAAAACCGGAACGCCAAGAACCACUCCAAACCAUGUACGACUACUAUCGCCGAAGACCCGUGUAACGCAAACGUCAAGUUCGACUACCGUUGACAUGCACUUCGCCGAGUACCAUGCUGUCUUUGGAAGACCCGUGAACAUCAAGUUCUUUGCCACGAAUGGUUACAGUGUUUUGGAUCCAACAAGUACCCUCUCCGGAUCGCCAAGUUCGACUACCGAUGACAUAUACCACAACCGUCGCGGGAACGUCUACUUCCAUCUACACUGCUUUGAACUCGAUCCACCCCGGAGAGACACUCUUCGAAGUUGCAGGUGUCGAUGA
RNAcentral lists this ribosomal RNA (528 nucleotides) under Triticum aestivum (bread wheat). RNAcentral's name for it is "partial small subunit ribosomal RNA". Lineage: Eukaryota; Viridiplantae; Streptophyta; Magnoliopsida; Poales; Poaceae. The record is from RNAcentral.